This 162-nucleotide ribosomal RNA is filed under the name uncultured eukaryote. RNAcentral's name for it is "partial 18S ribosomal RNA". It matches the Rfam family "Eukaryotic small subunit ribosomal RNA", at positions 1299 to 1458 of the family's 1831-position model. The record is from RNAcentral.
UCGUGGAUUGAUUUGUCUGGUUAAUUCCGAUAACGAACGAGAUUGGAGCUUAAUUAAAUAGAAAGGUCAUUUUUACUUUCAUUUCUUUACGGAUUUGAAACGUGACUCUUUCUUCUUAAUGGGAUUUGCGGCGUUCCAGUCGUAAGAAACCCAGCAAUAACA